UCCAGGGUAGCCUAGUGGUCAUGGCAUCUGCCCGGUAAGCGGAAGGUCGUGGGUUCGAUAGUAACCAAAUAUGACCCUGCUUUAUUAGGGU
Molecule: transfer RNA, 91 nt
Filed under: Cordylochernes scorpioides
Lineage: Eukaryota; Metazoa; Arthropoda; Arachnida; Pseudoscorpiones; Chernetidae
Description: tRNA-Thr
Source: RNAcentral